UAGUCAUAUGCUUGUCUCAAAGAUUAAGCCAUGCAUGUCUAAGUAUACGCAAAUUAUACUGUGAAACUGCGAAUGGCUCAUUAAAUCAGUUAUAGUUUAUUUGAUGUUUCUUGCUACAUGGAUAACUGUGGUAAUUCUAGAGCUAAUACAUGCGUAAAAAGCCCCGACUUCUGGAAGGGGUGUAUUUAUUAGAUAAAAACCAUCCUCCUCGGAGUUUGGUGAUUCAUAAUAACUUCUCGAAUCGCACGGCCUUGUGCUGGCGAUGCUUCAUUCAAAUAUCUGGCCCUAUAAUCUGUCGAUGGUAGGAUAGAGGCCUACCAUGGUUGCGACGGGUAACGGGAAAAUAGGGUUCGAUUCCGGAGAGGGAGCCUGAGAAACGGCUACCACAUCCAAGGAAGGGAGCAGGCGCGCAAAUUACCCAAUCCCGACACGGGGAGGGAGUGACAAUAAAUAACAAUGCAGGGCCCUUUUGGGUCUUGGAAUUGGAAUG
RNAcentral lists this ribosomal RNA (490 nucleotides) under uncultured eukaryote. Its description in RNAcentral is "SSU rRNA". It matches the Rfam family "Eukaryotic small subunit ribosomal RNA", at positions 21 to 516 of the family's 1831-position model. The record is from RNAcentral.